RNAcentral lists this transfer RNA (76 nucleotides) under Acetobacteraceae bacterium. RNAcentral's name for it is "tRNA-Lys". It matches the Rfam family "tRNA". From Rfam's summary of the family: Transfer RNA (tRNA) molecules are approximately 80 nucleotides in length. Their secondary structure includes four short double-helical elements and three loops (D, anti-codon, and T loops). RNAcentral also lists the same sequence under 6 other names. Lineage: Bacteria; Pseudomonadati; Pseudomonadota; Alphaproteobacteria; Acetobacterales; Acetobacteraceae. The record is from RNAcentral.
GGGCGCAUAGCUCAGUUGGUAGAGCAGCUGACUCUUAAUCAGCGGGUCCUAGGUUCGAAUCCUAGUGCGCCCACCA